RNAcentral lists this unclassified non-coding RNA (290 nucleotides) under uncultured fungus. RNAcentral's name for it is "sequence contains ITS1". The record is from RNAcentral. Lineage: Eukaryota; Fungi.
GGCAGCACUUUGCCUGAGCUUCCCCUCCCUCCGGAUGCACGCCCGAAUUUCCUGUUGCCGGAGCCGAAUGGCGACUUUGUCCGCAUCCACGGCGACCGCAUCUACCGCUUCCACGGCGGAGCGUGGAAGGAGAUUCCGGCCGUUGCCGAAGUACGAAACAUGCUAUUGGGAGCGAGUGCGGCCACACAUACCCGCAACGGCUCGUGGUUGGCAGCAACGCGGGGCGCCUUGGUCACAUGGGACCCGGGCAGGAUCAUUCAGACCGUCCGUCACGACGCCCCUGCCGCCAU